UUAUGUUUCAGUCUCCUCUUGUUUGAAUCAAAAGGCUGUCGUUUAGACAUGACUUGUGUGGAACUGUUGCGUUGUUGACCAUAAACCAACAAUUACCAUCACUGCCAUCUGAAAAAUGUGUACUCCUGCAUGUCACCAAAAUAAACUGGGAAAUUA
Molecule: long non-coding RNA, 156 nt
Organism: Cyprinus carpio (common carp)
Lineage: Eukaryota; Metazoa; Chordata; Actinopteri; Cypriniformes; Cyprinidae
Exons: 2
Source: RefSeq, a predicted model, not a curated record